GAGAGGCGUUGGUGUUUAUUUUGGUCCCACUUUCGAUUCUGCGGGGAACGAAGCGAGACGACGAGAAGGACUAAGGAAGAGCAACUAGGAGGAGGUAGAUUUUGUAAAACUAGAGGCUAUGGCGUCUAUUUGCCUCUCAAUUUGCUCGACCUCGAAACCCUUAGUGGUGCCUUCUACCUCUGCUGCAGCCGUUGCAUCUUCUUCUUCACCGAGCUGCCUUGGUUGCCGGUGCUCUCUCCUUUUCUCCACGGCAAUGUUUGGCUCUGGACGCUUGCUUUCUUCUACUACUAGUAGUAAUACCAAUCGGAGCCGGCGACAAAAGAAAGUGGUUUGUAUGGCUCCUGAUGAAGAAAAAUUGACUCGUCGAAAUCCUCUCGAUUUCCCUAUCGUACGUUUCUCCCUUCUUCUUUUCAAUUUUAUAUUUGAAUUGCAUGUUUUCGAAAUUAUUUCUUGUUUCAAAUUGUGCUUCACUGAUUAUCUUCUGAUUAUGUGUUUUUGCUAUAUUGAUUAUCUUCUUAUUAUGAUGGUCCAUAUUGAGAGCUGUUUGAUGCUAUGGCUACUUUAUUUAGUUUUUAAAUAUACAAUCAGAUUAGAUACCGGAAAAGGGAGAUUUAAGAAAUAAAUCUUUUGGUUGGGAAUUUAGCUCUUAAUCAAUCAGAAAUGAGAUAUGGGUAUGUGUUGCAUGGUACUCAAUAUCUAUGGAAUCAAUCAGCUAAAAAGAUUGGUAUAGCCAAUGCUAAGACUAGUAAUUUUUCUUUUUUUUUGAACCCUUAAUCUGAUUGAGAAGCUUACAGUUAAUUCUUUUUUUUUUUCUUAGUUUGGUCAUAUUUUUAGAAACUGCUUAACAAUUACUGUAAAAAAUUGACUUGGAACAAAACUCAGCCUGAUGGUCCACUAAAAUUUAGCCUCACGUUCUGAGCACUAGUUAAUAAGUGAAGAAAAUUGAAGUCUUGGAAUUUUUUUCCUUUCUUAGCCAUUAUGAAACUAAAAUGUAAAAUAACCGUGGAACCAACUUGAAUGAGUAGAUUGAUGUUUGAAGAUACAAAUUGAAGUUAAUUGACUCUACCAAAAUUUAGUGACCAUGAUUGAAAUAAUGCCUAUACUAUUAAUAAGUUUGGAAUUGUUACAUAUUUUAUUUUCUACAACAAAACCAGGAUAUUCUACAUGUAUAUGACGUAUUUAGUUUGACUUGUUCAUCUGUCCUAUUAUAUUUUUAAUAUUCAUAUCACAUCACUGGUAUAAUGCAAUAAUGACUCCUAAAAGUUCAGUGUUUACUACUUGAUGGCCAUCCGGUACAAGCCAGGAAACAGCCUAUUUGCUAAGUAGGGGUAAGGCUGCAUGCAUCAACCAUCUCCAGAGCCCACAAGUCUUCUUGCACUCAGAUCUUUACGGCUGUCUACAAUCUCUAUAUUGGAGAUUGAUGCCUUCUCUAAUCAUGCAUGGGGCUGUGUUAGUUCCACUACAAUGAUGCUGUUAUGUUGUGAGAAGAAAAAAUUGAAAUUAAUCAUGCAGAGUUGCAAUGUAAAUGCAUUUUGAUGCUGCCCUUUUAGGGAGCAUUAGGUAGUAAUUAAGUCAAGUUUGUACUGAUAUUCUAUGUAAAACAGUUGACAUAGCUUCAACCUUUAGCCUUGAAGGCUUACUUGAACUUUUCUGAAAGGAUAUAAGUGCACUGGUUGAAUGUUUCUCAUUUUGAAAUAGGGCUGUUUCUCCCUUCUUGGAUUUGUUAACAUUCAUAUCUACCCAUUCCUAACAGAAAAAUUUAUACCUUCUUGUUCCUAUGGUCCUUCAAAUGCUUGGGCUCUCUGUGAAGAAAGCAUAUGGUUGCUUGUGGCGUUUUUGGUUGGUUUGGUACUUAGGUUUGCUUGUCAUGAGAAUAACAAAAUAGCAAUUAGAUAUAAUGUAAAACUUCCUAGAGAUAUCAUGAUUUUGAGAAUUGUCUGUAGCGGGUCUAUUGUUUAAUGCUUACUGUUUGACGUAGUACAGUAAAAUUAUAAUUUGUGAUUUCACAUUGCAGGAGUGGGAAAGGCCCAAGCCGGGACGCAGACCUGACAUAUUUCCCCAGUUUAGCCCUAUGAAAACACCAAUACCACCCCCAUUGCCAUAUGAUCCUCCUGAAGAAGAU
This 2122-nucleotide unclassified non-coding RNA is filed under the name Hevea brasiliensis (rubber tree). Lineage: Eukaryota; Viridiplantae; Streptophyta; Magnoliopsida; Malpighiales; Euphorbiaceae. The record is from RNAcentral.